Molecule: transfer RNA, 91 nt
Filed under: Armatimonadota bacterium
Lineage: Bacteria; Bacillati; Armatimonadota
Description: Armatimonadetes bacterium (activated sludge metagenome) tRNA-Ser
Rfam family: tRNA
About the family: Transfer RNA (tRNA) molecules are approximately 80 nucleotides in length. Their secondary structure includes four short double-helical elements and three loops (D, anti-codon, and T loops).
Source: RNAcentral
GGAGAGGUGGCCGAGUGGCUGAAGGCAGCCGCCUGCUAAGCGGUUAUACCAGCUAAAACUGGUAUCGCGGGUUCGAAUCCCGCCCUCUCCG